GUCUUCGUAGUGUAACGGUUAAAACACUCGGCGCGUAUUCGAGAAGUCCAGGUUCGAGUCCUGGAGAGGGCA
This 72-nucleotide transfer RNA is filed under the name Stegodyphus mimosarum. It matches the Rfam family "tRNA". Rfam says of the family: Transfer RNA (tRNA) molecules are approximately 80 nucleotides in length. Their secondary structure includes four short double-helical elements and three loops (D, anti-codon, and T loops). Lineage: Eukaryota; Metazoa; Arthropoda; Arachnida; Araneae; Eresidae. The record is from Rfam by way of RNAcentral.